RNAcentral lists this ribosomal RNA (483 nucleotides) under uncultured bacterium. RNAcentral describes it as "partial 16S ribosomal RNA". It matches the Rfam family "Bacterial small subunit ribosomal RNA", at positions 30 to 507 of the family's 1533-position model. The record is from RNAcentral.
UUGAACGCUGGCGGCAGGCCUAACACAUGCCAGUCGAGCGGAUGAAGGGAGCUUGCUCCUGGAUUCAGCGGCGGACGGGUGAGUAAUGCCUAGGAAUCUGCCUGGUAGUGGGGGAUAACGUCCGGAAACGGGCGCUAAUACCGCAUACGUCCUGAGGGAGAAAGUGGGGGAUCUUCGGACCUCACGCUAUCAGAUGAGCCUAGGUCGGAUUAGCUAGUUGGUGGGGUAAAGGCCUACCAAGGCGACGAUCCGUAACUGGUCUGAGAGGAUGAUCAGUCACACUGGAACUGAGACACGGUCCAGACUCCUACGGGAGGCAGCAGUGGGGAAUAUUGGACAAUGGGCGAAAGCCUGAUCCAGCCAUGCCGCGUGUGUGAAGAAGGUCUUCGGAUUGUAAAGCACUUUAAGUUGGGAGGAAGGGCAGUAAGUUUAUACCUUGCUGUUUUGACGUUACCAACAGAAUAAGCACCGGCUAACUUCGUG